Molecule: transfer RNA, 84 nt
Filed under: Lentinula boryana
Lineage: Eukaryota; Fungi; Basidiomycota; Agaricomycetes; Agaricales; Omphalotaceae
Description: tRNA-Thr
Rfam family: tRNA
About the family: Transfer RNA (tRNA) molecules are approximately 80 nucleotides in length.
Source: RNAcentral
UCCUUCUUAGCUCAGUUGGUAGAGCGCGUCACUAGUAGUCAUACUGUCAUGACGAGGUCAGUCGUUCAAGUCGGCUAGAAGGAA